UGGCGACCGGGUGAGUAACACGUGACUAACCUACCCUCGACGUGGGGAAUAACUCCGGGAAACCGGAGCUAAUACCGCAUAACAUCGCAAGAUCAAAGCCGAAAGGCGCUUGAGGAGGGGGUCGCGGCUGAUUAGCUAGUUGGUAGGGUAAUGGCCUACCAAGGCAACGAUCGGUAUCCGGCCUGAGAGGGCGCACGGACACACUGCAACUGAACCACGGUCCAGACUCCUACGGG
Molecule: ribosomal RNA, 236 nt
Filed under: uncultured Acidobacteriota bacterium
Lineage: Bacteria; Pseudomonadati; Acidobacteriota
Description: uncultured Acidobacteria bacterium partial 16S ribosomal RNA
Rfam family: Bacterial small subunit ribosomal RNA
Source: RNAcentral